RNAcentral lists this long non-coding RNA (323 nucleotides) under Populus tremula. RNAcentral's name for it is "long non-coding RNA (PTRE_LNC002043)". The record is from RNAcentral. Lineage: Eukaryota; Viridiplantae; Streptophyta; Magnoliopsida; Malpighiales; Salicaceae.
UAUAGAGCCGUGCACAUUCAUUGAUUGCAACUGGGGAUUCAGUUGAUUUUGUUGGGACUGCAAUUGAGGAAUUGGAGGGUGGGGAAGUUGUCCUAUUCUUCCGUGUCGAUGCAUGAUUAGUGCAGAUGAUACAGUGACAGGCAAUGCUGAUGAGGAAAACAAAUGAAUACAGAAGCUCAACGUGGGGAAAUUACAGAUAAUCAUGCAUGAACAGAUAAUCCGGAAGCAAUUGCAGAGACAAUGUACCUGCUGUAACUUGGCAGCAAUUCUCUGAUACAUUUCAUUUAUUUCAGGGAAAUAAGUCUCCUUCAUGACUUUGAUCU